GCAGCAGUGGGGAAUUUUCCGCAAUGGGCGAAAGCCUGACGGAGCAACGCCGCGUGAGGGACGAAGGCCUCUGGGCUGUAAACCUCUUUUCUCAAGGAAGAAGAUAUGACGGUACUUGAGGAAUAAGCCACGGCUAAUUCCGUGCCAGCAGCCGCGGUAAUACGGGAGUGGCAAGCGUUAUCCGGAAUUAUUGGGCGUAAAGCGUCCGCAGGCGGCCUUUCAAGUCUGCUGUUAAAGCGUGGAGCUUAACUCCAUCAUGGCAGUGGAAACUGAUCGGCUUGAGUAUGGUAGGGGCAGAGGGAAUUCCCGGUGUAGCGGUGAAAUGCGUAGAUAUCGGGAAGAACACCAGUGGCGAAGGCGCUCUGCUGGGCCAUUACUGACGCUCAUGGACGAAAGCCAGGGGAGCGAAAGGGAUUAGAUACCCCUGUAGUCCUGGCCGUAAACGAUGAACACUAGGUGUCGGGGGAAUCGACCCCUUCGGUGUCGUAGCUAACGCGUUAAGUGUUCCGCCUGGGGAGUACGCACGCAAGUGUGAAACUCAAAGGAAUUGACGGGGGCCCGCACAAGCGGUGGAGUAUGUGGUUUAAUUCGAUGCAACGCGAAGAACCUUACCAGGGCUUGACAUCCUGCGAACCUUUAAGAAAUUAGAGGGUGCCUUCGGGAAUUCAGUGACAGGUGGUGCAUGGCUGUCGUCAGCUCGUGUCGUGAGAUGUUGGGUUAAGUCCCGCAACGAGCGCAACCCACGUUUUUAGUUGCCAGCAUUUAGUUGGGCACUCUAGAAAGACCGCCGGUGAUAAACCGGAGGAAGGUGUGGAUGACGUCAAGUCAUCAUGCCCCUUACACCCUGGGCUACACACGUACUACAAUGCUACGGACAAAG
RNAcentral lists this ribosomal RNA (880 nucleotides) under marine metagenome. RNAcentral describes it as "bacterial SSU rRNA". It matches the Rfam family "Bacterial small subunit ribosomal RNA", at positions 348 to 1244 of the family's 1533-position model. The record is from RNAcentral.